UGAUAACACAGGUUCCUGUUGGAGGAAGACCCAAAUGUCAGUUACCAUCACUGAUAUGAACAAAAUAGUCGGAUUUGGUUGCCUGAGAUUUCAACUCAACAUCAAAGGGUGAUGCCUUUCAGUGCCCAGUCCAGGCCCUUGCGGUACUGCAGUCCAUAGUCUUGGAACUCUAUAGUGCCAGUCUGAGGCCAGGCCAGAGGCAGGGAACUGCCUUCCACGGUCCACACAGCCUGGCUUUUAUUUAAAAAAAAUCCGAAACGGAACAAUGUACACCAGUCACCACAUCAACUGGAUAUUUUCUUUUUCCAGAGCAUGUACUGCAAGGUUCCACAGGUCUCCAGCUUCCAGAGGGGUACGAUAACCUUUAACCACCAGCCUGAGGGGAACAGCGAUGAUAAGUUGAGUGUGCAAAUUAAGAACACCUUCCUAAUAUUGACUUGCCCCUGGUGUCAUGGAAAGAGCAUGUGUUCUUCAGGUUUUGUACACUCAGUGUAUAAGUUAUUCACAAACACCCAUGUACAUUAUAAGAUUUACAGUAUAAAAGAUUUUUCAAACAAGUCAA
Molecule: long non-coding RNA, 562 nt
Organism: Salmo salar (Atlantic salmon)
Lineage: Eukaryota; Metazoa; Chordata; Actinopteri; Salmoniformes; Salmonidae
Source: RefSeq, a predicted model, not a curated record